UACGUAGGGGGCAAGCGUUGUCCGGAAUCAUUGGGCGUAAAGAGCGUGUAGGCGGUCCGGUAAGUCGGCUGUGAAAGUCCAGGGCUCAACCCUGGGAUGCCGGUCGAUACUGCCGGACUAGAGUUCGGAAGAGGAGAAUGGAAUUCCUGGUGUAGCGGUGAAAUGCGCAGAUAUCAGGAAGAACACCCGUGGCGAAGGCGGCUCUCUGGGACGGUACUGACGCUGAGACGCGAAAGCGUGGGGAGCGAACAGG
Molecule: ribosomal RNA, 253 nt
Filed under: uncultured bacterium
Lineage: Bacteria
Description: partial 16S ribosomal RNA
Rfam family: Bacterial small subunit ribosomal RNA
Source: RNAcentral